This 3024-nucleotide ribosomal RNA is filed under the name Salmonella enterica subsp. enterica serovar Typhimurium. Its description in RNAcentral is "23S ribosomal RNA". It matches the Rfam family "Bacterial large subunit ribosomal RNA". The record is from RNAcentral. Lineage: Bacteria; Pseudomonadati; Pseudomonadota; Gammaproteobacteria; Enterobacterales; Enterobacteriaceae.
GGGUUGUGAGGUUAAGCGACUAAGCGUACACGGUGGAUGCCCCGGCAGUCAGAGGCGAUGAAGGGCGUGCUAAUCUGCGAUAAGCGCCGGUAAGGUGAUAUGAACCGUUAUAACCGGCGAUACCCGAAUGGGGAAACCCAGUGUGACUCGUCACACUAUCAUUAACUGAAUCCAUAGGUUAAUGAGGCGAACCGGGGAACUGAAACAUCUAAGUACCCCGAGGAAAAGAAAUCAACCGAGAUUCCCCCAGUAGCGGCGAGCGAACGGGGAGGAGCCCAGAGCCUGAAUCAGCAUGUGUGUUAGUGGAAGCGUCUGGAAAGGCGCGCGAUACAGGGUGACAGCCCCGUACACAAAAAGCGCAUGUGCUGUGAGCUCGAUGAGUAGGGCGGGACACGUGGUAUCCUGUCUGAAUAUGGGGGACCAUCCUCCAAGGCUAAAUACUCCUGACUGACCGAUAGUGAACCAGUACCGUGAGGGAAAGGCGAAAAGAACCCCGGCGAGGGGAGUGAAAAAGAACCUGAAACCGUGUACGUACAAGCAGUGGGAGCCCCACCACCAAAGCAUUCUCUGGUGUUGAAGGCCCUGCAAAGCAGCAUCGCGGUGGCGGAGCGUCGUUUGCGACGCCCAACACACAAAACAAGCGGUGAAUGCUUUGGGGUGGGGUGACUGCGUACCUUUUGUAUAAUGGGUCAGCGACUUAUAUUCUGUAGCAAGGUUAACCGAAUAGGGGAGCCGGAGGGAAACCGAGUCUUAAUUGGGCGUUAAGUUGCAGGGUAUAGACCCGAAACCCGGUGAUUCAGCCAUGGGCAGGUUGAAGGUUGGGUAACACUAACUGGAGGACCGAACCGACUAAUGUUGAAAAAUUAGCGGAUGACCUGUGGCUGGGGGUGAAAGGCCAAUCAAACCGGGAGAUAGCUGGUUCUCCCCGAAAGCUAUUUAGGUAGCGCCUCGUGAAUUCAUCUCCGGGGUAGAGCACUGUUUCGGCUAGGGGGCCAUCCCGGCUUACCAACCCGAUGCAAACUGCGAAUACCGGAGAAUGUUAUCACGGGAGACACACGGCGGGUGCUAACGUCCGUCGUGAAGAGGGAAACAACCCAGACCGCCAGCUAAGGUCCCAAAGUCAUGGUUAAGUGGGAAACGAUGUGGGAAGGCCCAGACAGCCGGGAUGUUGGCUUAGAAGCAGCCAUCAUUUAAAGAAAGCGUAAUAGCUCACUGGUCGAGUCGGCCUGCGCGGAAGAUGUAACGGGGCUAAACCAUGCACCGAAGCUGCGGCAGCGACGCUGAUGCGUUGUUGGGUAGGGGAGCGUUCUGUAAGCCUGUGAAGGUGUGUCGUGAGGCAUGCUGGAGGUAUCAGAAGUGCGAAUGCUGACAUAAGUAACGAUAAAGCGGGUGAAAAGCCCGCUCGCCGGAAGACCAAGGGUUCCUGUCCAACGUUAAUCGGGGCAGGGUGAGUCGACCCCUAAGGCGAGGCCGAAAGGCGUAGUCGAUGGGAAACGGGUUAAUAUUCCCGUACUUGGUGUUACUGCGAAGGGGGGACGGAGAAGGCUAUGUUGGCCGGGCGACGGUUGUCCCGGUUUAAGCGUGUAGGUGUGUGUUCCGGUAAAUCCGGUUCACUUUAACACUGAGGCGUGACGACGAGGCACUACGGUGCUGAAGCAACAAAUGCCCUGCUUCCGUGAAAAGCCUCUAAGCAUCAGGUAACACGAAAUCGUACCCCAAACCGACACAGGUGGUCAGGUAGAGAAUACCAAGGCGCUUGAGAGAACUCGGGUGAAGGAACUAGGCAAAAUGGUGCCGUAACUUCGGGAGAAGGCACGCUGACACGUAGGUGAAGUGAUUUACUCAUGGAGCUGAAGUCAGUCGAAGAUACCAGCUGGCUGCAACUGUUUAUUAAAAACACAGCACUGUGCAAACACGAAAGUGGACGUAUACGGUGUGACGCCUGCCCGGUGCCGGAAGGUUAAUUGAUGGGGUCAGCGUAAGCGAAGCUCCUGAUCGAAGCCCCGGUAAACGGCGGCCGUAACUAUAACGGUCCUAAGGUAGCGAAAUUCCUUGUCGGGUAAGUUCCGACCUGCACGAAUGGCGUAAUGAUGGCGGGCUGUCUCCACCCGAGACUCAGUGAAAUUGAACUCGCUGUGAAGAUGCAGUGUACCCGCGGCAAGACGGAAAGACCCCGUGAACCUUUACUAUAGCUUGACACUGAACAUUGAGCCUUGAUGUGUAGGAUAGGUGGGAGGCUUUGAAGUGUGGACGCCAGUCUGCAUGGAGCCGACCUUGAAAUACCACCCUUUAAUGUUUGAUGUUCUAACGUGGACCCGUAAUCCGGGUUGCGGACAGUGUCUGGUGGGUAGUUUGACUGGGGCGGUCUCCUCCUAAAGAGUAACGGAGGAGCACGAAGGUUGGCUAAUCCCGGUCGGACAUCAGGAGGUUAGUGCAAUGGCAUAAGCCAGCUUGACUGCGAGCGUGACGGCGCGAGCAGGUGCGAAAGCAGGUCAUAGUGAUCCGGUGGUUCUGAAUGGAAGGGCCAUCGCUCAACGGAUAAAAGGUACUCCGGGGAUAACAGGCUGAUACCGCCCAAGAGUUCAUAUCGACGGCGGUGUUUGGCACCUCGAUGUCGGCUCAUCACAUCCUGGGGCUGAAGUAGGUCCCAAGGGUAUGGCUGUUCGCCAUUUAAAGUGGUACGCGAGCUGGGUUUAGAACGUCGUGAGACAGUUCGGUCCCUAUCUGCCGUGGGCGCUGGAGAACUGAGGGGGCUGCUCCUAGUACGAGAGGACCGGAGUGGACGCAUCACUGGUGUUCGGGUUGUCAUGCCAAUGGCACUGCCCGGUAGCUAAAUGCGGAAGAGAUAAGUGCUGAAAGCAUCUAAGCACGAAACUUGCCCCGAGAUGAGUUCUCCCUGAGACUUUAGGUCUCCUGAAGGAACGUUGAAGACGACGACGUUGAUAGGCCGGGUGUGUAAGCGCAGCGAUGCGUUGAGCUAACCGGUACUAAUGAACCGUGAGGCUUAACCUUACAACGCCGAAG